CGGGUGAGUAAUACAUCGGAACGUGUCCUGUAGUGGGGGAUAGCCCGGCGAAAGCCGGAUUAAUACCGCAUACGAUCUACGGAAGAAAGCGGGGGAUCUUAGGACCUCGCGCUAUAGGGGCGGCCGAUGGCAGAUUAGCUAGUUGGUGGGGUAAAGGCCUACCAAGGCGACGAUCUGUAGCUGGUCUGAGAGGACGACCAGCCACACUGGGACUGAGACACGGCCCAGACUCCUACGGGAGGCAGCAGUGGGGAAUUUUGGACAAUGGGGGAAACCCUGAUCCAGCAAUGCCGCGUGUGUGAAGAAGGCCUUCGGGUUGUAAAGCACUUUUGUCCGGAAAGAAAACUUCCCGGUUAAUACCUGGGGAGGAUGACGGUACCGGAAGAAUAAGCACCGGCUAACUACGUGCCAGCAGCCGCGGUAAUACGUAGGGUGCGAGCGUUAAUCGGAAUUACUGGGCGUAAAGCGUGCGCAGGCGGUUCGUUAAGACAGAUGUGAAAUCCCCGGGCUUAACCUGGGAACUGCAUUUGUGACUAGCGAGCUAGAGUAUGGCAGAGGGGGGUAGAAUUCCACGUGUAGCAGUGAAAUGCGUAGAGAUGUGGAGGAAUACCGAUGGCGAAGGCAGCCCCCUGGGCCAAUACUGACGCUCAUGCACGAAAGCGUGGGGAGCAAACAGGAUUAGAUACCCUGGUAGUCCACGUCCUAAACGAUGUCAACUAGUUGUUGGGGAUUCGUUUCCUUGUAACGUAGCUAACGCGUGAAGUUGACCGCCUGGGGAGUACGGUCGCAAGAUUAAAACUCAAAGGAAUUGACGGGGACCCGCACAAGCGGUGGAUGAUGUGGAUUAAUUCGAUGCAACGCGAAAAACCUUACCUACCCUUGACAUGGUCGGAACCUUGCUGAAAGGUGGGGGUGCUCGAAAGAGAACCGAUACACAGGUGCUGCAUGGCUGUCGUCAGCUCGUGUCGUGAGAUGUUGGGUUAAGUCCCGCAACGAGCGCAACCCUUGUCCUUAGUUGCUACGCAAGAGCACUCGAAGGAGACUGCCGGUGACAAACCGGAGGAAGGUGGGGAUGACGUCAAGUCCUCAUGGCCCUUAUGGGUAGGGCUUCACACGUCAUACAAUGGUCGGAACAGAGGGCUGCCAACCUGUGAGGGGGAGCUAAUCCCAGAAAACCGAUCGUAGUCCGGAUCGUAGUCUGCAACUCGACUACGUGAAGCUGGAAUCGCUAGUAAUCGCGGAUCAGCAUGCCGCGGUGAAUACGUUCCCGGGUCUUGUACACACCGCCCGUCACACCAUGGGAGUGGGUUUUACCAGAAGUGGCUAGUCUAACCGCAAGGAGGACGGUUACCACGGUAGGAUUCAUGACUGGGGUGAAGUCGUAACAAGGUAGCCGUAUCGGAAGGUGCGGCUGGAUCACCUCCUUUCUCGAGCUCAACGUUUUAAAGUGAAGUGCUAAAGCGCUCACGCUUAUCGGCUGUAAGAAGACAGGCUAAGGGUCUAUAGCUCAGUUGGUUAGAGCACCGUCUUGAUAAGGCGGGGGUCGUUGGUUCGAAUCCAACCAGACCCACCAUGAUUCGCACGGCAGGGGAUUAAUGAAUGUUAAUCGCCCAAACGAUGAAAUCUACGGACCCUUCAGCAUCCGAGGUACUGGGGGGGAUUAGCUCAGCUGGGAGAGCACCUGCUUUGCAAGCAGGGGGUCGUCGGUUCGAUCCCGUCAUCCUCCACCAAUCAUCAAUGCACAGCACUCUUAAACGAAGAGUUUAAGUAAAGAGUUGUCGUUCUUUAACAAUCUGGAAGAAGUAGUAAAGGUCAUUUGAAAGCGCUUAGAAAUGGGCGUGAUUAGGAUGAUCAGGGUUGUGAUUGUAUCAAUGUAUGAAAAGGUGAUCGAAAGAUUGCCUUGGAACACGGCGCAACACGAAUACUCAACCUAUGGCGGGGUGAAAGAGUUUCCACAGAUGGCUGAGCUUCGGUUCGGUGUAGGUGGGAUGCUCGGAGACGCACUCGUUAUAGGGUCAAGCGAACAAGUGCAUGUGGUGGAUGCCUUGGCGAUCACAGGCGAUGAAGGACGCAGUAGCCUGCGAAAAGCGACGGGGAGCUGGCAAACGAGCUUCGAUCCGUCGAUGUCCGAAUGGGGAAACCCGGCCCUUCUGGGUCAUCCUGAGCUGAAUACAUAAGCUCAGUGAAGCGAACGCGGUGAACUGAAACAUCUAAGUAACCGCAGGAAAAGAAAUCAACCGAGAUUCCCAAAGUAGUGGCGAGCGAAAUGGGAUCAGCCUGUACUCUUUAUCACGACCGUUAGCCGAACACUCUGGAAAGAGUGGCCAUAGCAGGUGAUAGCCUUGUAGGCGAAAGCGGAUGUGUGGAACUAGGUGUACGACAAGUAGGGCGGGACACGUGAAAUCCUGUCUGAAGAUGGGGGGACCAUCCUCCAAGGCUAAAUACUCGUGAUCGACCGAUAGUGAACCAGUACCGUGAGGGAAAGGCGAAAAGAACCCCGGGAGGGGAGUGAAAUAGAUCCUGAAACCGCAAUGCAUACAAACAGUCGGAGCCUCGCAAGGGGUGACGGCGUACCUUUUGUAUAAUGGGUCAGCGACUUACGUUCAGUAGCGAGCUUAACUGAUUAAGGCAGGCGUAGCGAAAGCGAGUCCGAAUAGGGCGUUCAGUUGCUGAGCGUAGACCCGAAACCAAGUGAUCUAUCCAUGGCCAGGUUGAAGGUGCGGUAACACGUACUGGAGGACCGAACCCACUAAUGUUGAAAAAUUAGGGGAU
This 2772-nucleotide ribosomal RNA is filed under the name uncultured bacterium. RNAcentral describes it as "partial contains 16S ribosomal RNA, 16S-23S ribosomal RNA intergenic spacer, and 23S ribosomal RNA". The stretch from base 1 to 1427 matches the Rfam family "Bacterial small subunit ribosomal RNA". The record is from RNAcentral.